Molecule: long non-coding RNA, 2273 nt
Organism: Oncorhynchus tshawytscha (Chinook salmon)
Lineage: Eukaryota; Metazoa; Chordata; Actinopteri; Salmoniformes; Salmonidae
Source: Ensembl
AGAAAACAUGAGCAAAAUUGAAAUAAGAGACAAUAGUAUAUGUGAAAUACUUAACAACAUAAUAAAGAAAUAAGAUGAUGAUGAGAUUAGGUUGGUAGUAUAUUAUGUAGUUACCAAUCUGUAUAUUUCUCAGAAGAAUGUAUCUUCUUAAGGAUUGCUCUGUCUUUGGCCAGCUUCUCCAUGAACUCCUGGCAGGGGAGGGUGACGUUUGUCUUCACAAUAAGCAUGGCCUUGAUGGUAGGAACAGUGAACCUAUUUCUUGCUGCUGUCCAUAUAUCAUUCAUUUGAGAGAACACUCUUGACUGGUGCAUUACUUCUAGGUAAGCACAUGACAACAGACACUAAUCUAGCCAGGUUAGUGUGUGGGAUGUCAUUCUCUUCGAAGUGGGUAACCACCAUGUCUCAGAUGUUUUCCAUUCUUCAAGCGAUUCCAUUCUUCAAGCGAACUCUUGCAGGCCGGUAACCGCGUCAAACAAUGCAUCCUCAUUGAUGGUCACAUUGGGGCAUUUUUCCUGCAGUGUGGCUGCUGCUUUCUAGAUCUCUUCACGUUGAUGUUGCCUUUUUAAAAGGAGACAAUGUAAAUCUUUUAGAUUAUGUAAAAAUGAUCUUACAAUAUCUGACUACUAUUGGCAGCAGCUUUACAUGUCCAUGAUUGACGCAUCAAUGGACAGGGACACAAAUUCAACCUGGUCUAGGUCCGGGUGUUACCAAAGUAGUUGCCCAUGUUGCUAACACGUUACUCACUAUGGCGUAACUAUGAUUGUGUCGCAUAGUGUGGUAUGCAAAGACACCCUCCUGCACAGCUAAAUCAUAUUCUUCUUGGGAAAGCUCUACCUUCUUGAAGAAUGUGGUGACAGAGGGCCUACCAACACGGGCAAUCGGAGAGGCUUUAUGCUUUUUCACCUGUUGAUGUUCUACCCCUGUCGUUCUUCCUCCGCUGCCAAUUGAAAAAGAGGAAUUGCAGGGUGCAGUGAGGAAUGCCACUAGAUUGUAGCUUGUGCUAGCCUUGCCCAAAUCUCAGUGUUAUCAAGGUUGGUGUGAAACUGUUAUAACAUGUGUUCUCUCUCUUCCCUGUGAAAGUCAAUAUGGUUUCUAGGUGGUGUGGAACAUGUGAGUGACCAUUGUUCCAGAUGAGGGAUUGUUGGAAACUGACAUUUUUUGUAACUAACUAAUUGACUUGAGCAAGUUUUUACUAUGUUUAUAACUAUAUAAGUGGACCAAUUUAAUUGGUUAGAUGGAAUGAUUUAUGAGCAAGUGUAUAUGUGGCCGGAGGCAAAGUACAAAGGGGGCCUGUUGCUGAGACAGAAUGUUUCUAUAAGGGUGAGGUAAGUCCCGAGGCAAAGGAACCUACGCAGGCCCAGAGUAGUGGCCUAAAAGAUGGUAAUAGUAGAAGGAGUCCUGAACCAAAGGAACAAAUGCAAGCCUGGAGUGGCCCAGAAGUUAAGGUGGUUAACUUCACUAUAGCAUUGGCAGGAAAAAUGCCUUUUAAGACUAUGAUCAACAAUGUAUUAUGAAUCUUAAUGGACCAAAUGCUUGCUCUGUUGGGUUUGUGGUGACAGCUAUGAGAACCGUUCCAAACAAUGAGAAGAUCUGAAGGAUCCGUUUAAGAGACGACAAACCUCCUGGAAUGAGAAGUGACAUCACUCACACUUAGGCACAUACCUCCAGAUUACUCUUCUAAUAUGACUGAUCUCGCCGAAAUACAUUGCCACUGCAACUUGGUUGGAAUCCCUGGAAGUUGGCGAUCCCAAAUUGCCAAAUGGGCUGCAGCAUGUGUUUUAUGCUUAGUUUGCCUAAUUGUGUUAUUAACAUGCUGUGUAUGUGUAUUAAAAACAAAAAAUUCACUCCUGUCAAUAGAAGUACAACCUUUAUUAUGAUACUAUUACCAUACUAAUUCGAUUGUAUAACCCAGAAUGAAGGGUUUGAAGGUGUCGGUCUCAUUACAUUUAGGGAGUAAGGGAAUGUGGAGGAAAAUGGAUCGUCUGGAGACAGCCUUGAACUGUAUUUCUUGUCUCAUAAAAUCAUGAGUUCCUGUAGGUGCUGGGUAGAGGUAUUAAGGGGAGACGCUCCCUCCUCAGACCUUUUGGCAGAACCCCCAGAAUAUGUUCUAUAAGUUAAGAUAGGAGACGGUGCUAGACACAUGCAGGAACCAACCUAUGUAGCUUGUCUGUGUAAGCAGUAUAUUAGAGAACUAACGGGACUGCCCCAUAGAAGCUCACUUCAGAACCGUACUUUAUGCAUCUAAGUUUGACUGUGGCCUCUCCAGCUUGCUG